GAUAAACGCUGGCGGCGUGCCUAAUACAUGCAAGUCGAUCGAGAGCGGAGCAAUCCGCGAAAGAGGCGAACGGGUGAGUAAUACAUAAGCAACCUGGCCACAAAGACGGGGAUAACACCUGGAAACGGGCGCUAAUACCGGAUAAGUGAAGGUGGGGCAUCCCACCAUCAUAAAAGGGAGAGAAACGCGAGUGGAUGGGCUUAUGGUGCAUUAGUUAGUUGGCGGGAUAAAGGCCCACCAAGACGAUGAUGCAUAGCCGGACUGAGAGGUUGAACGGCCACAUUGGGACUGAGACACGGCCCAGACUCCUACGGGAGGCAGCAGUAGGGAAUUUUCGGCAAUGGGGGGAACCCUGACCGAGCAACGCCGCGUGAGUGAAGAAGUUUUUCGGAAUGUAAAGCUCUGUUGUAAGGGAAGAAGAGAUAUGGAGGACCAUAUUGUGACGGUACCUUA
This 453-nucleotide ribosomal RNA is filed under the name Erysipelotrichales bacterium oral taxon C62. RNAcentral describes it as "bacterial SSU rRNA". It matches the Rfam family "Bacterial small subunit ribosomal RNA", at positions 28 to 482 of the family's 1533-position model. Lineage: Bacteria; Bacillati; Bacillota; Erysipelotrichia; Erysipelotrichales. The record is from RNAcentral.